UGGUCUGUAUACGCUUGGCACUAUUAGGAAAUGUGGCCUUAUUGGAGGGAGUGUGUCAUUGUGAAGGUGGGUUUAAGAACAUCCUCCUAGCUUCCUAGAAGUUAGUCUUCUCCUAACUAUGAAGUUCUCCCUCAGAUGAAGAUGUAGAACUCUCAGCUCCCUCUGCACCAAGCCUGCCUGGAUGCUGCCAUGUUCCCGCCUUAAUGAUGGUGGACUAAACCUCUGACCCUGUAAUCCAGUCCCAAUUAAAUGUUGUCCUUUUUAUGACUUGCCUAAGUCAUGGUGUCUAUUCACAGCAGUAAAACCCUAGCUAAGACACAUUCCAUCCUGCAUCUGCUCCUAAAACAGGAAGGUAAAUGUGGCCCAUACAUAUACAGCCACCCAAUUAGACAAGAUGGAUGAAGCAAAGAAGUGUAGACCGACAGGAGCCAGAUGUAGAUCGCUCCUGAGAGACACAGCCAGAAUACAGCAAAUACAGAGGCGAAUGCCAGCAGAAAACCACUGAACUGAGAAUAGGACCCCCGUUGAAGGAAUCAGAGAAAGAACUGGAAGAGCUUGAAGGGGCUCGAGACCCCAUAUGUACAACAAUGCCAAGCAACCAGAGCUUCCAGGGACUAAGCCACUACCUAAAGACUAUACAUGGACUGACCCUGGACUCUGACCUCAUGGGUAGCAAUGAAUAUCCUAGUAAGAGCACCAGUGGAAGGGGAAGCCCUGGGUCCUGCUAAGACUGAACCCCCAGUGAACUAGACUGUUGGGGGGAGGGCGGUAAUGGGGGGAGGAUGGAGAGGGAACACCGAUAAGAAAGGGGAGGGGGAGGGGGAUGUUUGUCCGGAAACCAAAGAAUUAUUAUUAAGUAUUAAAUAAAUUAAAAAAAAAUAAUUCAAAAUACCUUCAGGAGUCCCUGAAACUGACCAGACUCACUAGCCCCCUCCCUACCAGAGUAAACAGCAAAAGCUGAGAAUCACUCUCCAAGGAGUGAAGUUGUGAUGCAAAGAAGACUCUAUAACAAGACAAGUUGCAAAGAAGAUUGUGGGACCAAACCAGCUGCCAGGAAGCAGAAACCAGACGAGUUACCUGAAAAAGGUUUAAACCAUGUCACUUGGAGAAGGCACUUUCCAACUGAUCGUGCUACCUGCAAACUGUGUACUGAGCUCCAGGUUCCCAACUUUGUGAGCUGUCACCCACGCCAAGGUAGGCUUUGGUGUCAUUUCUGUUGCUGUAAGAAACCCCUCACCUAUAUUUCUAUAAUAAACCCUAAUAAAAUUCAUUGACUGACCAAGUUGGUCUUUGACAGUAUCUGUUCACAUGGGAAAUAAAUGCUUAGUUUUAAGCAAAAGAUCAAAUUGAUACAAUUUAUGCUUUAAAAUAAUACUGUCUGUUGUACGAACAGUGACAAGAGCUGUGAUAAGAGAAGUUAAGAGCUAUACUUAUAAAGCUACUAUAAAUCUCCAGGGAAGAGACAAUGCUGGCCUGGCCUGGGAGGCAACUAUGGAAGUCAAUCAAUUCAAUUAUGCUUUCAAAAUCAUAGUUAAUGGGAAUUACUGCCAGAUUACAUUUACGUGUCAUCAAAAAAAAAAAGAAAGAAAGAAAGAAAGAAAGAAAAGAAAAAAAGUCAAGGGACUGGAGAUAUACAUAGCUCAGUUGUAAAAUCCUUAUCCAGAACUCAUAAGGUCCUCGGUUAGGUGUCCAGUGCUACAGAAACCCAGGUAUGGUAGCAUAUCCCUGUAAUCUCAGCACUUGGGAGCUGCAAACUGGAGGUUCAGAAGUUCAAGGUUAUCUGGCAAGUCUGAGGCCAGCCUGGAAUUCACAAUACUAGCAUAAUUACAGUUAUGAAGUAGCAACAAAAUCAUUUUAUGGUUUCAGCACAGCAUGAGGAACUGCAUUAAAGCGUCACAGCACUAGGAAGGUGAGAAGCUCUGCUCUAAAGUAAGGCUGAACGCUUACAGUGCACUACAGUGUGCAUUAUAAUGGGCCCUCUUCCUCUCUAACCUACCGAACAAUUUCCCCUUCACUUAUCAAAGUCAAUCCUUUCAACUCACCAAAACCAGGUGAUACAAUCCUACUUAGCUUGCUUUCCCUCUGCUCAGAAUGUUCUUCAUGUCUUUCUCAGGCUUAGACCUUCUAAUAUCACCUUCUCAAUGAGGCUUCACCUGAGCUUUCAAAAAUAUUAACUGCCCUUUUUACCCACACUACAUCAUCCUGGCUCUGCUCUUCAACAAUCACUUCCUUACAGACUUCAGCUAUGUCAUAUAUAUUAAUGUCUAUUCUCCCUACGAGCUUUUAAGUGCUACAGAAGUAGAAGAUCAGUAUUUUUUGCUACUGUGUUACAUGAGUCUAAGACCCUCUCUGAAACAGGUUGUUUCUUUUUUUUUUUUUUUCUUUUUCUUUUUUUCAGAGCUGGGGACCGAACCCAGGGCCUUACGCUUGCUAGGCAAGCGCUCUACCGCUGAGCUAAAUCCCCAACCCCAACAGGUUGUUUCUUAAGAAAAUAAAUUUAAAGAAAAUACAAUGAAAAGGCAAAGUCAAUAAAAAUUUUGUUACAAUACUAUAUGGAGAAGUCUGAAAUUGAUCAUGAAAAAUCAAUAUGGACCCUUAUUUUAAGAAAGGGACUGAACCAGUAUAACUUUGAAACACUAACUUUUCAAGUGCACAUAGAUGGGAUUUAAGGAUACUGGAUAAAGGACAAACCACAGGGAAGUAGUUCCUGUUCAAGCGCUUCAAACAGUGGCUCUUCCAGUGAUCGCCCUGAGGGAACGAAAAGCCUGAGAAAAGAAAGCAAGCUGUCUGCAGACAAAGGAAGGUGAGCAGGGCACUAAAAGUGAGACACAGAGAACACAGCAGGAACAGUGUCCCAACAGACACAGAGGAAAUCCAUUUCUGUAACCUGGGUACUGACAUGAAUAGAGACUAGUCACUAAACACUACUCCUAUUCCAUAGAAGAUAAAAUUACAAGUUUAAGAAGAUCUCUAAGAAACUGUCUAAAGUUACAGUUCCAAUUUAAGUAGACCAAUGUGACUGUGGCAAAUCUGUCCCAAGCCAAAGCCUCUUUCUGAUACAGCAUGUGCUUAGGAAUUUUGCCUUAAAUUUUCAUCUUUCUGAUAGCUUUUUUCUUAUCUUUAAACUGAGAUUGCCUGACAGACUUUUUUUUCUGAUCCACAUUUUAAUCUUAAUCUUUUUUUCUUUUAUUUGAUUUUUUUUAUUUACAUUUCAAAUGUUAUUCCCUUUCCCAGUUUCCCAGACAUAAGCCCCCUACCCUCUCCCCUCCCCUUCUUCUUUCUAUAAGGGUGUUCCCCUCUCCAUACACACACCUCCAACAUUCCCCUACACUAGGAGGUCCACCCUUGGCAGAACCAAGGGCUUCUCCUUCCACUGGUGCCCCAACAAGGCUAUUCUCUGCUACAUAUGCAGUUGGAGCCCAGGGUUAAUCCAUGUAUAGUCUUUGGGUGAUGGUUUAGUCCCUGGAAGCUCUGGUUGGUUGGCAUUGUUAUUCGUAUGGGGUUGUAAGCCCCUUCAGCUCUUUCAAUCCUUUCUCUAAUUCCUCUAAUGAGGGUCCCAUUCUCAGUUCAGUGGUUGCCUCUAGCAUUUGCCUCUGUAUUUGACAUGCUCUGGCUGUGCCUCUCAGGAGACAGCUAUAUCAGGGUCCUGGCCUGACAGACUUCUAACUCUGUGAACUACACAAUACCAUCCAAUGUGAAAGGACAAAUACGUUUUAGUCGUGAGAUGUUAAUUUCAGUUAACCAAAGUUAGUUCUAACAACAAGAACAUUGGAGAUUAAUGAUGUAGUGGGAACAGAAAAUAGAGAAAAAAAACCAAAAAAACAAAACCCAGAAAGGCAAGGCUGUCGCAGCAAGCAGUUUACAGAGCAGGCACUAACACGGGUGGGGAAGUAUUCUUGAAGAUCAGAUGCUGGAAACAGAACACAAACUGUAUAAGCCCUCCCAUCUUAUGCUUUACCUAUGAAAGACAGUGAAGCUAUAAAAUGUACUUCAAUGUAUCUGAAGUGCCACCGUGUGGUUAGAAACAGUAAAAACAAGCAACUGAAUGUUCCUUCAGAGGGAUAUUUUUAAAAUAUGCUGUGUAGUAAAUUAUCUACAGGUACUACAACUUACUAUGAGGAUGAUUAUUCCUUAUGCUCAAACGAUUAUUAACUAACCAUUAAGAUAAGCCAUAAGCGUAUUAAAUUGAUAUAACAUAUACAACAAGUCACAUUUUAGGUUCUGAGAUACCUAAGUAAAGAGUAUAGCUGUAUAUGGAAGGGAGGAAACAACUAAACCGUAAGUGUGACCCAAAUCUGCAGCAUAAAUAUUAGACCUGUGCUAGUAUGUAAUAAAUAAGUGUAUCUGUGAAAUGAACACUUAAAAUCAGACAUAUAGUACACUUAAAUAUUCUAAAAGUACUCACAAAAAGGUUCCAAUAAAGAACAGCUCACCUGUACUGUUUCGAUCAGACUUGCUGAAUAGAAAGGCAUGGCCACCAUGUACGUUAGGCUGCAGAAAUUAAACCAAACUGUAUCAGCGCAACAACGUAAGAUCAUUACAAUAAACUUCCAAGAUGUCUUAAUGUACUCACCUAAAUGCACAUUCAAACCUAAAGUGAUCUUUUUAAAUGUUCAACUAUCCUUUGGAACUAGUGAUUUUACUCAAUACAUUGAAAAAUGGUACUUUAUUGAAUAGACGGAUAUAAAAAAGUAACAAUAAUACAAAGACGAUCUGCCAAAAAAACCCAAAAACAGAAAACCUAGCUGUACCUUUAGCAGAGUGUAGGCCCCUUUGUGGUUAACUGUUCUGACAUCGACUUGCAUAUAACUAGUACUCCCUGAAAUGUCUCUGCGCCCUUUGAAUGAACAACUGUAUCAUAGUUAGAGUCUCCUGAUGGCCGGAAGGGAUGCUUUAUGUUAUCUACCUGUUAUCCUUUUCCACUUCUACAUUUCCAUCAGCAGAACUAAGCCAGCCUACAGCUAUAAGAAAAGUUCCCUUCUACCAUGAAAAACUAAUGUUGUAUGGCUUUCCAAAGCUGGUUCUUUAUCAGUGUGAUCACAUCACAACUUUGCAAGCCUGCAAACUAUAGUUACUUAAAAUCCUUUCAUGGGUGAGACCAACCUAACCAGUACCCUUAGGGGCCAGAUCCUAGUAAGUACUCACCUCCAAGGUUAAUGGAACAUCGGUAAGUAAUUAUGUGCUGGACUGACCCAGAGGGAGUCAGCAAGGUAGAGAACUUCUAAUUCUUCAGAUAAACGGGAUAACCUUUUAAUCCGUAAAGGUAGUUACUGAUGUAAAAUCACUAGUCCCUUUACGCCACACUGCAAUGUGACUGUCAUUUUGAGCUCUCUCUUCAACAAAUACAUACAUUCCUAUCUCUGAUAAGACACAGGUUUUUUUUUUUUUUUUUUUUUGGUUCUUUUUUUUUUUUUUUUUUUUUUUUUCGGAGCUGGGGACCGAACCCAGGGCCUUGCGCUUCCUAGGUAAGUGCUCUACCACUGAGCUAAAUCCCCAGCCCAAGACACAGGUUUAAUACCCUAGAAAUGCUCAAGACCACGUGUGUUUCAGAUUUGGGGAUAUUUGCAUAGAAGUAACGAGAUAUCUUGGGGACGGGACCUAAGUCUAGAUACAAAAUUAAAUCUAUGUGUUAUACUUUUUUUUUUUCUUUUCUUUUUUUUUUUUUUUCAGAGCUGGGGACCGAACCCAGGGCCUUGUGCUCGCUAGGCAACCGCUCUACCACUGAGCUAAAUCCCCAACCCCAUGUGUUAUACUUUUACACACCAAAAGUGACUUGGUGUUUUUGCACAGUAUUUUCUGUGUGGCUAUUUUCUGAUACCUCAUCCCUUAUUAAAUGGGAUUGAUCCAGUUAAAGAAAUUCAAGACACUUGGCAUGUCAUGUUGGUGUUCAAACUCUUCAGAAUUUGAUGUAUUUUGGAUUUCAGAUAUUUGGCUUCUUCAUAUUCAACCGUAACUUUUUGUUUUAACCUAGGUUAAAGAGCUGGGGAACUCACAGCUGGUGAAGCACUUGCCAUGGGAGCGUGAAGACCCGAGAAUGCUCCACAGCACGCAGUACAAAGCCAGGCACGGUAGCAUGCAUUUGUAACAUCGGUGCUGGGUACGUAGAGUAGGGUGUGCUGGCUGCUCUGUCUGAUAGACAGAGCACUCCAACUGAUGGCCUGAAACCAUACUCAAUUCCCCACAUCUUCCCCCAGGAUACAGCCCGGUGGGUCAUCCUGAACUCUCCAUCCACACCUUUCCCUAAACCCAGGUUCUACAUCCAGUGCCCCUAGCCCAGUCUAACUAUCCUAGUCUGAGCCUCUGUGAAUCUGUAGCUUCCACCACAAAUGGCCAGAUACCAAGUGAUCGUCUCUAAAACAUAUACACAUAAGUAACAUUAUAUGGACCGACGAGGUCGUAUUUAUGUAUUCAGAAACACGAACAUACACCAACUAACAAGUAAGGAAAAAGGGCGAUGGGUUUGAAUGAAAGAAAGGUGGGGGAUGCAUGGGAAGUGUUGGAGAAAAGGGAAGGGGAAAUGAUGUAAUUAUAUGUAAUUAUAAUCUUAAAAACUGGACCAUGAACUGGGCAGUGGAGGUACACGCCUUUAAUCCCAGCACUUGGAAGGCAGAGGCAAUGGAGUUCAAGGCUAGCCUAGAAUACAGAUCAAGUUCCAGGACAGCCAGAACUACACAGGAAACACAAAGGGAAUGGGGGAGGAUCUCCAUGAAAGGGAACUGAAGCAUUUGGUGGAAAUAAAUUUUUAAAGAAAUUAAAAAAAUACUGUUGGUGGCUCCUGAGGACACUCUGGCCUCCGCAUGCACACAAGUGGAUCCAAACACGCAAACGCACACAUACUCACCCCGCCCCUGAAGAAAGAACAAAAGAGAAAGGAUCUAAGCUGAGCCAAGACUCUUAUCUUUCAAAUGCUUAAAAAUUAUUUUAAGCAGCAUGUGUAUUUCAGGAUUGCUUAUUGCUGCUGCUGCUGCUGCUGCUGCUAUCACUAUUAUUAUUGUAGUUGUUGUUGUUGUUGUUGUUGUUGUCAUUAUUAUUAUUCCAUGUGUAUUUCAAGACUUACCCCUAAGCCUUUUAUUACUUAUUCUCCAAAACUCUAUCCUAAUACUCUAACCUCCUUGACUAUAUUAGGCAUAAGAAUUUUUUUUUCAGUUCUAACACUAAAAAGCUAAUAAAACUUUCUAGUAACAAUGUCAUUUUUAAAACUUACCAUUUCACUCCCCUUCUCCUCAGAAAGGGAAAAGGCGAUGGGACCUUUUAAAUAAAUAAAAAUAUUAAUUUAAAAAGCUUACCAUUUCAGGAGAAGGUGUUCACCUAUUUGUUUAGGGUUCCAUUUCUGUGAAACCUCCCUAAAAUGCAAAAAUAAAUGUAAAUAAAACAAAACUACAUUACUUGAAACAUUUUGUUUUAGUCUGUAAAAUGGGUUUUCCUUCUAGACAUACUUCUGAUACUGUGGUUCAAAGAGUCAGUGAGUGUGUCUGCUGACAGAGGCUGCAGUGAUGGUGACAUGAUGGCUACUCCUGUGUCAGAGUGACAGGUAAGAAGGCCCAGGAGACAAGCCUCCAGCCCUAACUGUGAGGAGGUUUCAAGACUGGGUGGAUUCAUGGCUCCUGACUGAAUGAAGAAGAGAAAGUUAGCUGUGCAGCAGCACCCUCUGCUUACUAAAACCGUGCAGGGAUAGAAUUCUUUCAUCAGAAAUGCUCCGGACAAGAUGUGUUUCCCAUACAUACCCCCUGAUCAUAUGGCUCUGGGACUUUGGAACCGGUCUGUCUACUCCAAUCUCCCUUCUUCACCUCUCUCCACAUAGCUAACUUUACACUUUCAUUGUUGUCGCCUAUGGUCCUGAAACUUAAUUGUAGCCAGAAGCUGAACCACAAAUAUUAUCACUGCAGUCACUGAACUUUUGCACACUACUAAACUGAAUGCCCUGCACUUUGCCAACUUUUUUAUAGAUCUCUGUGUAUGAGGUGGGAAGCCUCAAAGAGAGAGAGAGAGAGAGAGAGAGAGAGAGGACACACAUGUGCACUUUCAAGCACACCCUGUGACAUAAAAAGCAGUAACAGAUUAAAGUUGGCCAAGCACAGACGUUCAGUUUUUAGAAUACGAGUCAAGAGGACUUGGCUGGCUGCUAACCUUUAGGAAAGCUGUAAUAAGGGAAUGCUGAGACUACACAGUCCUUUGAGGGCAACACAUGGGAAAAAGUGUUGCUCUUAGCUCUUGCCUUUGUUUCUUUCCUUACAAAGAUUAAAUCCCAACACUGAGUACAUGUGCAACACCAGUUAGACCUUCAACUUACUCCCUUCUUAGCAAUCAGGAUAACGUAUCCUUUAGAUAAAUAACCCAGAACUUUCCAAACCUUUAACACUAUCCGUGAGUUCAUUCAGAAAAAUACACUACAGAAAACUGGUCACGCCAAAGAGUAGCCUACAAAUUACAAUUGCUCACUACCCUAUCAGCAUCCCUUUCAUGUCUGGUCUGAGCGCCUUGCUGCCAACAGCCGUAACUGUAGGACACUCACAGCGCAGUUUUCUUGGGGCUUUCGAGUCCAGUGCUGUCUUUCCUGCAACAAGUAAUGGCUGCAUCUGACUGCAGAGAAGACACUCAGCUUCCCUACGUUGGUCUGCUCUCUCUCUCCCAGAGAUCGACAACUGAGUCUGUCAUGAACCUUCCCUCUAGUUGUUAAGGGUAUCACUACCUCUACCCUUCACGACUGCUGUCACCGCCCCCACACCUCACAUAUGGUACACACAUGUAGGCACACAAGUUGUCCAGGAUCUAUCCUUGUUACGUUUCAUAACUUGUGAUCUACAAUUCUCCUAGUUGAAUUUCAUUGAGUCUCACAGUCUGAUACUUUACGCCCCAAUACUCAAAGUUAUGUGUACAUUAAGUAACUUCUGUGGCAUCCUGAUCUGCAGUUCCAGCCCCCUUCCAGAAAUGGUCCCCUGUGGUGGCAUGAAUGAGAACAGCCCCCACAAGCUGAUAGAUUUGAGGAUUAUAGUGUGGCCUUUUUGGAGGUAUGUCACUGUCACUGGGUGUGGGUUUUGAGAUUUCAAAAGCCCACAGCAUUUCCAAUGAGCACUCUUGCUCUCCCUAAGCCCACAGCAUCUCCAAUGAGCACUCUCACUCUCCCUCACUGCCGCAUACUUGGGGGUCAGACAUAAGUUCUCAGCUACAGGUAAAGCACCAUGCCCACCUGACUCUGGCAAUGCUGCUGCCGUGAUGAUCAGUCUCUACUACCCUCUGGAACUGUCAGCCCCAAAUUAAAUGCUUUCUUUAGUAAGUUACCUUGGUCAUGUUGUCUCAGAAAAGUAACAGAAAAGUAACUAAAAUAUCCCCUACAGGUCUGGCAAAAAUCUUAAAUCCAUUUAUUGAAAGUUAAAUUCCUUAACUACUUCUCUAACGUAUUCUUAAUGAAUUCUCCACCUUGGUUAGCAUUUCUAUUUGAAAAAAAAAAUCUCAGCCACUGCUGGCAACUCUCUUCCUGAUACUUCCAGUUCCAAUCUAACAGCAACUAUCAUCAAUUAUACCUAGUAUGCCUUCCAACUCUGCACUAUCUGUUCUGGUCCAUAACUCAGAAUUGCCCCAACAUGGUUAAGAUUAAUAUAUUAGCUCUCUACAAGCCAGUAUGAACCAAUACUUCUGAUACUACCUCUUAGGAACACUGCUGACACUCUGUGAGACCAGGCGCUGCUGCCUUGUCUUGGAAGGAAAGCCCUUCCUGCCCAGACAAUUCUUACUCAUAAUUCUUAUCUCGAUUUUCAGUUACUUUUGAAACCCUUACCAAUAACUCCAGCUACAUAUGCCUGGGAAUCUUAAGUGGGUUAAUUGUACACAAAUCAGACAAUGUUUUAUAAGCAAAUGAGCUACAUAAAGAGGAGGUUAAUUCCUCACUCCUGCUUCCCACGGGGCUGGCAUCGCUGGUGCACAGCAGCAGGAAUGAAAGGCAGGUCAGCAGACAGUAGCAGGACACAGAGCACCCUACCACACACUUACUCCGCAAGGUAUAUAAAGAAGCUUGUGGGUGGGUGGGAGGGGGAGCACCUCAUAGAAACAGGGGGAGGGGAGGAGAAGGGGCAAAGGGGGUACUGGGAAAGGGGAUAACAUUUAAAAUGUAAAUAGAUAAAAUAUUCAAUUAAAAAAAGUUUAAAAAAAAAGAAGAA
Non-coding RNA from Rattus norvegicus (Norway rat), 10154 nucleotides. Lineage: Eukaryota; Metazoa; Chordata; Mammalia; Rodentia; Muridae. The record is from RefSeq and is a predicted model, not a curated record.